Molecule: ribosomal RNA, 407 nt
Filed under: uncultured bacterium
Lineage: Bacteria
Description: partial 16S ribosomal RNA
Rfam family: Bacterial small subunit ribosomal RNA
Source: RNAcentral
AUCGAACGCUGGCGGCAUGCCUAACACAUGCAAGUCGAGCGCCGCGGCGGACGGGUGAGUAAUGCCUAGGAAUCUACCCGGUAGUGGGCGAUAACGUCCGGGAACGGGCGCUAAUACCGCAUACUAUCAGAUGAGCCUAGGUCGGCUUAGCUAGUUGGUGGGGUAAAGGCCUACCAAGGCGACGAUCCGUAACUGGUCUGAGAGGAUGAUCGGUCACACUGGAACUGAGACACGGUCCAGACUCCUACGGGAGGCAGCAGUGGGGAAUAUUGUGCAAUGGGCGCAAGUCUGAUGGAGCCAUGCCGCGUGUGUGAAGAAGGCCUUCGGGUUGUAAAAUACUUUCGGCGGGGAGGCGUUAUCCGAAGAAGAAGCACCGGCUAACUCCGUGCCAGCAGCCGCGGUAAUUC